Long non-coding RNA from Telopea speciosissima, 97 nucleotides. RefSeq lists it as uncharacterized. The transcript is spliced from 3 exons. The record is from RefSeq and is a predicted model, not a curated record. Lineage: Eukaryota; Viridiplantae; Streptophyta; Magnoliopsida; Proteales; Proteaceae.
AAGGAUCUUUUCUUUUUCUCUUUUUUUGAAAUUUGAAUAAGUACCAGAGGACAAGAAGUCCACCAUUACUAACUACAGAAGAAGAAGUAUAAAUGAA